Molecule: ribosomal RNA, 206 nt
Filed under: uncultured bacterium
Lineage: Bacteria
Description: partial 16S ribosomal RNA
Rfam family: Bacterial small subunit ribosomal RNA
Source: RNAcentral
CGUGUAGGCGGCCCGGUAAGUCCGCUGUGAAAGUCGGGGGCUCAACCCUCGAAUGCCGGUGGAUACUGUCGGGCUAGAGUACGGAAGAGGCGAGUGGAAUUCCUGGUGUAGCGGUGAAAUGCGCAGAUAUCAGGAGGAACACCAAUUGCGAAGGCAGCUCGCUGGGACGUUACUGACGCUGAGACGCGAAAGCGUGGGAGCAAACA